Molecule: small RNA, 29 nt
Filed under: Bombyx mori (domestic silkworm)
Lineage: Eukaryota; Metazoa; Arthropoda; Insecta; Lepidoptera; Bombycidae
Description: piRNA piR-bmo-1597926
Source: RNAcentral
UAGACAAACUUUUAUCAUCACAGAUGCGC